This 67-nucleotide transfer RNA is filed under the name Spinachia spinachia (sea stickleback). RNAcentral describes it as "tRNA-Ser (AGY)". The record is from RNAcentral. Lineage: Eukaryota; Metazoa; Chordata; Actinopteri; Perciformes; Gasterosteidae.
GAGAGAGGCUUUUAGCAAUGAAGACUGCUAAUCUUCAAGACUUUGGUUAAAUUCCAAGGCUCACUCG